GAGGCUGUGGCUCAGUGGUAGGGCGCUUGCCUAGCAUGCAUGAGGCACUGGGUUCAAUCCUCAGCACCACA
This 71-nucleotide transfer RNA is filed under the name Marmota monax (woodchuck). Its description in RNAcentral is "tRNA.Ala". The stretch from base 6 to 66 matches the Rfam family "tRNA", at positions 6 to 65 of the family's 71-position model. Rfam says of the family: Transfer RNA (tRNA) molecules are approximately 80 nucleotides in length. Their secondary structure includes four short double-helical elements and three loops (D, anti-codon, and T loops). Lineage: Eukaryota; Metazoa; Chordata; Mammalia; Rodentia; Sciuridae. The record is from RNAcentral.